UUCACUUGUGCUCUGGAAAGCAAUGCACCUGGCCUGCCAUGGAGAUCAAGCAGAUCUACAAGAAUCUUUACCACCUCUUCUGCUCUGUGCUGAGGAACUGGCAGGACUGCAAGGAAGAAAAGGACAAACAGGCCGUCCUCGAGGCUGUGGCUACCAUGAUGGCUGUCCUCCUGCAAGCGGAGCUGCCUCAAGAGCCCAUCUGGGAGCAGCUCCUCUGUCUCGUGCGCCUGUAUCAGGAGGUCCAAGACACCUGCAGGGGGACCAAGAGCCUCUGUAUCUUCCUGGAGGCCUUAGAGGGAGUUCAAUCUGUCAUCCCUAAGGACAAGUUUCUGGCCAUCACCGGUGCUGUGUUCUACCAGCUCUCUGAUGACACCAAGGAGCACAGCGAGGCUGACAGAGCAGAACUGACCCGCUGCAUCCUGCUGCAGGCCCGGAUCUGCCCAGAUGAAACAGUUCUGUUUCUGCAGUCACAGCUGGGCACUGACAGGGAGGCUGGAUGCGUGGCAGCCCUGGGUCUGCUCGGUGCUCUGGCUCGCU
RNAcentral lists this long non-coding RNA (537 nucleotides) under Gallus gallus (chicken). Its description in RNAcentral is "lncRNA (ENSGALG00010004314.1)". Lineage: Eukaryota; Metazoa; Chordata; Aves; Galliformes; Phasianidae. The record is from RNAcentral.